Molecule: non-coding RNA, 916 nt
Organism: Cinara cedri
Lineage: Eukaryota; Metazoa; Arthropoda; Insecta; Hemiptera; Aphididae
Source: the annotation of a GenBank genome assembly
AAUAUAUAUAGACACGUGUACAGGAUUUUAAUAUCCAAUCAUUUAUCACGGUACUUGCGCUGUAAAUAAUAAUUGUGAUUGCGCUGUUUUAAAUAUUUGAUUUCAACAGCCACCGUUCAGCGUUAUGUGUUUUACAAUAAUAUUUAUAUAAUGCAGUCGCAUAGGUCGCAUGUGGUUGGCGUAUAUAAUACGAACAUGUCGGAAAUAAUGGGAUUAAAUCAAUAUUGUUAAUAUUGUCUAAUAAACUCGCCGAAUAAAAAAUAAUCGUAUUAAAAUAAUUAUGCUUUGAUGUAGAACGGUGGAUAUUUGAAAAUCACACUUUUUAUAAUAAAUAGGUGUUCCUAUAAAUAAUAAUCGACUAUCAGGCGCGUCCUCGGAGACGUAAAUAAUCAUUAUAGUAUAUUGUUAUAGCUAUUUCGAACGUUCGGUUUUUUCGUUAUUCUGAUUCAAUUUGAAACCGCAAUCGGCAACAACAAAGACUCAUCAAUAAUAAUAUAUUACAGUAUUUAAAGCGCAAUCAACGGGUUUGUCUAUACAUUGUACUUACGGGCGUAGACGUAUUUAAAUAUUAUAGUUUUAUAGUAAUUUGAUCGUUUCAAACACAGUAACCUGGACGUUUAAAAUACGUGUAAUUAAUUAUUGCAACGAGUGGCCGAUCUGACGGGUUCGGAAAUAAUGAUGGAGGUAUUUGUGAGACAUUCGCGGUAUGCGAGCAUCGACAAUGGCUUAUUGAUAAUAUUAUUGUAAUUUAUAAUGUUUGACUGAAAGGGCUAUGCCGCGUGCUUGACGUAGGUCGGGAUCGGCUUGUCUCGCGAUAAAAGACGUACGCGCGAUGCUAUCAGCGCGCGUCAUGCGUCCGAUUCCCAAUCGAUUAUUAUAAUAAUACGCAUGAGAUACCUAUAAUACUUCAAUCGGG